Eufriesea mexicana is the source of this 2088-nucleotide long non-coding RNA. RefSeq lists it as uncharacterized. The transcript is spliced from 5 exons. The record is from RefSeq and is a predicted model, not a curated record. Lineage: Eukaryota; Metazoa; Arthropoda; Insecta; Hymenoptera; Apidae.
GUUCGACGAAAAUAGCAAGAAUAUCGAGACGAACGUAUUACAUCUAGAUUAACGUCCGAAUUAUUGAACGUCAAGCUGUAAACACGUGUCCGAGUGACGAUACUGAAGUAUUACAAAAGCGCGCGUUACACCGAUAAGAGUACAGGCAGAGUCUUCGGCCAUAGCUGCAGGGUUACGACACCAACUCCCGAGGCUUUUGAAUCAGACCGAGCUGCGAAAUCUCGUCGCAAUUAUCCCCUUCCAGUUGGUUACUGAAAUUCGAGGCACCCCUAUCCUCCGCCUUCGCUUGGCGAGAAGGGCGGAAAAGGGUGAUCAUGGGCGUCGAACACCCCCAACCGUUCACCCAUACCUAUCUCGUCAUAGACGACACGAUGGAGGCAACACGGAAAUGGUCGUUCGUCGUGCCGUGGCCUCCACGUCUGAACGUCGAUCAGCCGUCGGAUUACGCAUGUCCUGGCAGCUGCGCAUCCUUCCUGGGCGUUCCAAAGAGCCGCCAAUCGCUGAAACCCUCUAAUAUCAACCACCCGUUCUGCCGACCAAUGGGAGUCGUCCGUUGUAUCAGCGAGGGUGUCAUCGGCCAGUUGGACUACGCGAUAUUAUCAUUCUCGUGGCCGAGGCAGGAAUAGGGUGAGCGACGAGGGAACGAGAAGGAUGGAAGCUCCUGGUCAUCGAUCCUACGCUCUACUCUGGGAAUCAACGCCACCUUCGGGCCAUCGACGUGGGAUACUAAGCUCGACUGGCUGACGGGCAUGGCCUUCUGCGCGAAGAAAGGGACAACAUUUGCGAGCUCGUUCAUCGCACAUCCGGUAGAGGAUCCGUCAGGAUUAUGUAAAUAUCUGCAACGGAACUAACAAUCUCUAUUCUCAAGAAAUAAACCACGGAGCUGACGGAAUACACGGAGAACUUCACCCACGAAGACAUCUCGCCCAAAACACUAUGAGAGGUUUAACCAAAACGUUUGCGACGCACCAGAACCGAUACAACGAAACUUGCCCGUGCACAAACUCGAUAGAACGGAACCUAAGAUAAAACUAGAAGCGUGGAACAGCCAUCCAUCGGACGAUCAUCCCCUCGCUGCAUGAAUCCGCGUGGCGCGAAGUCAACCCUGACCCGGGUUGCCGCUGCUCCGCCGCCUCGUGGAAUCGCCUCGUCGAGCCACCCAAACGCCAGGCUCGACUCGAUCGCAGCGAGAAGUAGGAGUGGAGGAUCGGCAGUGGACUCGUGGAGGAGGAAAGGCAACUGUAGAGAAGAGCCACUCAGCCCGCCCACCCCCGUAUCUCCGUCUCCGUUCGAUCUUCCCUCUGCCGUAGAGCGAUCGACUGAAUGGUUCGCGUGGAAACGGUAACGCUCGCGAAACCGGGGAGUGGGUGUCGGCGAGAGAGGAAGAAAACGGCGGAAGAAAGCGGCGAAAGGAAGAAAGAAAGAAAGAAACGGGCCGGAACAGAGACCAAGGGACUUUCCGUGGCCGCCUGGGCCACGGCCCUGGGCAAGGUGGGCCACGGGCCACAGGGGCAGCCCGCGCCGUUCAGCACGCGACGACACGCUACCGUCACCUUCUCCCCUCUAUAAACCCCUUCCCAUCAUCCUCCAUCUCGCUUCGUUCUCACCGAACCGCAUCAUCCGGCUGCCUCGCACCAGCACCCGCUGCACCCAUACGUAGUCGUUUCUGCACCAACGGGCACCACGACCGAAGCGUGCACCGCUCGUGGCACAGGGUACGGGGGACCAAAUCGAAAGCAAAGCCCGUAACCCCCGUUCGCGGGCCGAGCCCACUUCAGACACGUCGUGUCCUCCGCGUGGUCCACGUCAUUUCGUCCUGGUCAUCCGCCUCUUCCAUCUUCCACCUCUCGUCCUUGUCGCUUCUGCAGCCUCGCCGGAUGAACCUCGUUCUUCCUCCAACCUGGUCCUCGUCCCGACCUCUUCUCUCCAAAAGUUCCACCUAUUCCCCUCUUCGUCCUUCCCGAGUACCCUCCCACCCCGUCUGCGCCUCGGGUGCUUCCUUCUCCGUCCCGCCUUCGUCUCGCUUCUUUCCGACGCUCUGCGUCCCUCCUGCUCCCUCCUUUCGGCCGUCCUUCUCGCCGCACGCUC